RNAcentral lists this ribosomal RNA (553 nucleotides) under uncultured bacterium. Its description in RNAcentral is "bacterial SSU rRNA". It matches the Rfam family "Bacterial small subunit ribosomal RNA", at positions 239 to 805 of the family's 1533-position model. The record is from RNAcentral.
GAUUAGGUAGUUGGUAGGGUAAGGGCCUACCAAGCCAAUGAAUCGGGUAGCCGGCCUGAGAGGGUGAACGGCCACAUUGGAACUGAGAGACGGUCCAAACUCCUACGGGAGGCAGCAGUGGGGAAUAUUGGGCAAUGGGCGGAAGCCUGACCCAGCAACGCCGCGUGAGGGAAGAAGGUUUUCGGAUUGUAAACCUCUGUUCUUGGGGAAGAGGAGGAGACGGUACCCAAGGAGGAAGCCCCGGCUAACUACGUGCCAGCAGCCGCGGUAAUACGUAGGGGGCGAGCGUUGUCCGGAAUGAUUGGGCGUAAAGGGCGCGCAGGCGGCCUGUCAAGUCAGUAGUGGAAGUCCAUUUUUCAAGGAUGGAAGUGCUAUAGAAACUGAUGGGCUAGAGUGCAGGAGAGGUUAUCGGAAUUCCCGGUGUAGCGGUGAAAUGCGUAGAGAUCGGGAGGAACACCAGUGGCGAAGGCGGGUAACUGGACUUCAACUGACGCUGAGGCGCGAAAGUGUGGGGAGCAAACAGGAUUAGAUACCCUGGUAGUCCACACUGUAA